ACCCUAACCGUGCGAAGGUAGCAUAAUCACUUGUUCUUUAAAUGGGGACUCGUAUCAACGGCAUCACGAGGGUUCUACUGUCUCCUUUCUCUAAUCAGUGAAACUAAUCUCCCCGUGAAGAAGCGAGGAUAACACUAUAAGACGAGAAGACCCCAUGGAGCUUUAAACCCAAUUAUAUCCCUAACCCCUAUACCCAUUUAACCUCUUAGGCCUAUAUACUUGGUUUUAGGUUGGGGCGACCACGGAGUAAAACCAAACCUCCAUGAUGUACGGAACAACCUCCUUAUCUAAGAGCCACAGCUCUNAGAAUUAGCACACUAUCAUAAAAUGACCCAUUAUUGAUCAACGAACCAAGUUACCCUGGGGAUAACAGCGCAAUCCAUU
Molecule: ribosomal RNA, 384 nt
Filed under: Mantidactylus femoralis
Lineage: Eukaryota; Metazoa; Chordata; Amphibia; Anura; Mantellidae
Description: partial 16S ribosomal RNA
Rfam family: Bacterial large subunit ribosomal RNA
Source: RNAcentral